RNAcentral lists this ribosomal RNA (497 nucleotides) under uncultured bacterium. RNAcentral's name for it is "partial 16S ribosomal RNA". It matches the Rfam family "Bacterial small subunit ribosomal RNA", at positions 28 to 507 of the family's 1533-position model. The record is from RNAcentral.
GAUGAACGCUGGCGGCGUGCCUAAUACAUGCAAGUCGAGCGAACAGACGAGGAGUUUGCUCCUCUGACGUUAGCGGCGGACGGGUGUGUAACACGUGGAUAACCUACCUAUAAGACUGGGAUAACUUCGGGAAACCGGAGCUAAUACCGGAUAAUAUAUUGAACCGCAUGGUUCAAUAGUGAAAGACGGCUUUGCUGUCACUUAUAGAUGGAUCCGCGCCGCAUUAGCUAGUUGGUAAGGUAACGGCUUAUCAAGGCAACGAUGCGUAGCCGAACUGAGAGGGUGAUCGGCCACACUGGAACUGAGACACGGUCCAGACUCCUACGGGAGGCAGCAGUAGGGAAUCUUCCGCAAUGGGCGAAAGCCUGACGGAGCAACGCCGCGUGAGUGAUGAAGGUCUUCGGAUCGUAAAACUCUGUUAUUAGGGAAGAACAAAUGUGUAAGUAACUAUGCACGUCUUGACGGUACCUAAUCAGAAAGCCACGGCUAACUACGUG